Molecule: ribosomal RNA, 786 nt
Filed under: uncultured bacterium
Lineage: Bacteria
Description: bacterial SSU rRNA
Rfam family: Bacterial small subunit ribosomal RNA
Source: RNAcentral
AGAGUUUGAUCCUGGCUCAGGACGAACGCUGGCGGCGUGCUUAACACAUGCAAGUCGAACGGAAAGGCUCCUUCGGGAGUGCUCGAGUGGCGAACGGGUGAGUAACACGUGGGUGAUCUGCCCUGCACUUCGGGAUAAGCUUGGGAAACUGGGUCUAAUACCGGAUAGGACCGCAUGCUGCAUGGUGUGUGGUGGAAAGCGUUUAGUGGUGUGGGAUGGGCCCGCGGCCUAUCAGCUUGUUGGUGGGGUGAUGGCCUACCAAGGCGACGACGGGUAGCCGGCCUGAGAGGGUGUCCGGCCACACUGGGACUGAGAUACGGCCCAGACUCCUACGGGAGGCAGCAGUGGGGAAUAUUGCACAAUGGGCGCAAGCCUGAUGCAGCGACGCCGCGUGGGGGAUGACGGCCUUCGGGUUGUAAACCUCUUUCACCAUCGGCGAAGCCUCAAGUUUUCUUGGGGUGACGGUAGGUGGAGAAGAAGCACCGGCCAACUACGUGCCAGCAGCCGCGGUAAUACGUAGGGUGCGAGCGUUGUCCGGAAUUACUGGGCGUAAAGAGCUCGUAGGUGGUUUGUCGCGUUGUUCGUGAAAUUCCCUGGCUUAACUGGGGGCGUGCGGGCGAUACGGGCAGACUGGAGUACUGCAGGGGAGACUGGAAUUCCUGGUGUAGCGGUGGAAUGCGCAGAUAUCAGGAGGAACACCGGUGGCGAAGGCGGGUCUCUGGGCAGUAACUGACGCUGAGGAGCGAAAGCGUGGGGAGCGAACAGGAUUAGAUACCCCCGUAGUCC